UUUCCCCCAAAAUUUUCUCACAUCGAAAUUCGAAAUCGCCUUACAAAGAAAUCCGAUGGCGCGAAAAAAGCGCUAGUCUCCUUCUCCAAUUUUUAUCGGGGAACUGCAAGAUUGAGAUCGAUGGGGAUAGUUAUGCCUGUGAAUCGAUUGAUGAAGCUCUUCUCAUUUCGGUGCCCAAUGCAGCAAAGAUAGUGGAGGAGCUCGGAGGUUUUGUUACAGGUCAUGGAAGUUCUUGUACACGUGAUUACAGGGAAAGCAAGGAAAACUUUGAACUUUUGCGUAGCUUUAUCCUCUGGGUUAGUAUUAUUUCCUACUAUUCAAACUAAAACAAAAUUUAUGUUACGUAUAUUCUUUUGUUACUUGAAUCCAAGAGUAGGCUACCGCACCAAAUGUAAUGAACACACAAACACAAGGGGGAAAAAAGAAAGUGGAUGAAAGUUAGUGCAGGUGAAUCACCAUUCAUUCUAGAAGAUGAAGAUUAUUUGCUCAAGUAUAAGUUUGAACUGAGAGAUGCAGUUGAGAGAGCGAAAUUGAAACCACACUCGUUGUUCAAAGGAUAUAAUAUCCGUCUUGCUAAGCGUAUCCAGCAGUCUGUGGAUGUUCUUUCAUCCAUCAGUAAAGCAACUGGUGGCAAGGUAAGCAUUAUUAUCUCUGUAGCAUCAUCUUGGCUGGUUCCAUAUAUUUAUUCUCUACGGUUGUGUGUAGACUUUACUGUAGAUGAUACUUUUAAUGCUGCAUUUGGGUGAUCUGUUCAUUUGUUUAAUUUAUAAUUAAAUACAAGUUAAUAUUAACAGGAGAAAACAUCAAAAUUGUCAAAAUUAGACAGUUGAUGAUGCUUCUAUUUUGUCUCUUGCUGUUGUGUAGAAUUGCUCACUCAGUCUUUGUUGGAGCAACAAGGGUCACAUUUGUUUCUAUGGUCUGCAACUUUCUUUGUAGGCUGAAUGUUGGACUUCAUUGCAAUGUAUGCGUGGAGUCUUCUGGCAAAUCACCAAUGGAAAAUUGUUUACGUGUAUCAGUGGAACUAAAUAAAGAUGCUAAGCAUUUAUAAUCUAGCACAGCGGGGAAAAUCCUUAAGCAGGGAGGAAACAUCAUAUGAAAGGGCUAUAAGAUGUUAGUAUGGACAAUUUGAAAUUUCCACUAACAGAAGCAUAGUCUUCUUCAGAUAAACACUGGAACAACUACCACUGCAUUGGCUUCUGCAGUUAAUGUUCACAAUAUGGAGCUCUGCAAAAGUUAUCAGGUUAUAAGUCCUGCCAUUUAGGUAUCCUGGCACUCGGCUCAAUUUUCAGUGCAUCAAGUGAUACACACAGUCUUCACCAUUACCUGGACUUGACAUUUCUUAAUUUGGUUCACCAACACAGUAAUCAAAACAAAGGAUAAAUUACACUAAACCCCCAAUAAACAAAGGAUAAAUUACACUAAACCCCUACUAAUUUCUUUGGAGUAAAUUACACUAAGCCCACAGUAACUUUGAAAAUGUCUUUUAUAAUUUAUGGGUGUUAUCUGCAAAGUGCAAAAAACUCAUUGGGGCCUUUUUGCGAAACGUAAAAGUUAUUGGUGGUAUUUGUGUGAUUUUGGAAGUUAUUGGGGGUUUACUGUAAAUUCCUCAAAGUUCUCGGGGGUUUAAUGUAGUUUAUCCCAAAACCAAAGCCACUAACACUUCUAAUUAACCAAAGGGAAUCUGACUUAAAGUGUGAAUUACUAAUUUGCAAGGUAGCUGCAAAGAAAGGUGUAUGGACAUUUAGCAAUGACUGGUUUAUGAGCCGUGUUAUGAGACAAGAGCUUGAUGUGGAGGCUCCUCAGUUUGCAGAGUCCCUUUAGCUGCAGAUUUAUGUAAACCAUAACGUUUAUUGGUGGUUCAUGCUCAUAAUUUUGGAUAAAUAAAUACAGGUUAAUUAUCAUAUUUACUUGUAUGU
This is an RNA transcript of Asparagus officinalis (garden asparagus), 1916 nucleotides long. RefSeq lists it as uncharacterized. NCBI's taxonomy places the organism in Eukaryota, Viridiplantae, Streptophyta, Magnoliopsida, Asparagales, Asparagaceae. The transcript has 4 exons. The record is from RefSeq and is a predicted model, not a curated record.